Molecule: non-coding RNA, 2008 nt
Organism: Rattus norvegicus (Norway rat)
Lineage: Eukaryota; Metazoa; Chordata; Mammalia; Rodentia; Muridae
Source: RefSeq, a predicted model, not a curated record
CUGGGUGACCGAGGCAUCUCUCUUAUGAGGGACCCGUACUCCAGAGUCAGAAUUCAUUGUUAUUGAAUAUUCUAGAAUUGAUAGAAUUUGGGCGAGACAGUGGAAAGAGAUAAAUGACACUUCAAGAAAUGAAGCAAAGCACCGAUAUUAACAGGAAAAUGAAAACAGAAUAGUUUGCUGUCUGCGGCUCUCCAGAAGACGUGGCUGGCCGGUUCUUAUCAUUCAUCACAAAUGCAUCUCACUCCAGCCCAGGCUCCCCUGACAGAAAGAACAGCCGGUCUUCAAGAGGUCAAAGACAUUUUUCUCUCUUCGUCUUUCUCAGUUUCCAGCAUAGAUUUGUCAGUCUAAGAAGGCAUGAACCCUGGAUUUGAUGUACUUUAAUUGAUUUCACCCUCGACAAGUCAGACUGUCCAUCAGCUCUCUGCUUGGGCUUCCCUGAACGUUCCUUGAGGCUGCGAUUUUCAUCCGUCUCUGAAACCAAGCUGUCACCAAGCAAUUUAUUCCCUUCACCGGCUCUCUGGGUCCAUCUUAUUUUCACUCCCAUAACCCCCUUGAGGGAAAGAGGGAGAGCGUGUGAUAGAACACAGGAAAGACUGUGCAUGAAGGGAAAGAAGGAAGGAAGGAAAAGAAGGAGGAAAAGAAAGAUGAUAGACAGAAAAGUGUGCGUCUGUAUCAACUUCGGGGAAACUGUUCUGAUUUCUUUCUCAAAUGGUUAACAGGGUGAAAUCAGAGAACAGGGGGUUGAUGGAAGGGAUGAAGGAUAAACAGAUGGAUGACUGUAUGGAUGGGUGGAUGGAUGGAUGGAUGGAUGGUAGGUAGAUGGAUGGAUGGGUGGGUGGAUGGAUGGAUGGAUGGAUGGGUGGAUGGAUGACUGUAUGGAUGGAUGGGUGGAUGGAUGGAUGGGUGGAUGGAUGGAUGGGUGGAUGGAUGGAUGGAUGGGUACAUGAGUAGAUAGAUGAGGGUAUGGAUGGAUGGGUGGAUAGAUGGAUAGAUGGAUGCAUGCAUGCAUGGACGGGUGGAUGAAUGGAUCUGUGGAUGGAUGAAGGAAUAGUAAAAUAUAUAGGGAGGUUUGGAGGGAUUGGUGGUAAGUUGGAGAGAGGGGGAGGGAGAGAGGGAAGGAGAGAGGGAGGGAAGGAGAAAGAGAGGAAAUGGAUGAGUAAGUAUUUGGGUGCAUGCAUGAAUGGAUGAAUGGAAGAUGGGUAAACAGGUGAGGGAAGGGUUGGAAGGAAGGGUGAUUGGAUGCAUGGAUGGAUGGAGUGACAGAAGAACAGGUGGGGAGGUAAAAGGAUGCAUCAAUGAAGGAGUGCAUGAGUGUGUGUGUGUGUCUGUGUGUGUGUCUGUGUGUGUGUGUGUGUAGCAGUGCUUUAAUGGGUGAAUUCUUCAGUAGUUAGAAGAAUGCCAGACACUCUCAUUACUAAUUGGGUUCGGCAGCAAAGCUUCAAAUAUAUACAUAUAAACACAUAUGUCAUAUAUUAUAUAUUACAUAUUGCAUAUAACAUAUUACACAUUACACAUCAUACAUGUAUAUGCAUCACAUAUACACAUACACAUGCAUAUAUAAUCUUGUACUUGCCAGUAAUGGUAACAGGGCUUAAAUAAUGACAAACACAUAGACUUUGUCACCAAAGAACUUACACUCACAAAGUCAUGAGGAUUGUGUGUAUGUGUGGUUCCUGGGACUGAGCACAGAGCUCCACACACGCUAGGCGACACUGUGACACUAUCCCACCUCCACAUCUUCUUUAUUUUUCUCCUCUUUAUUGAUGAUAUCAUCUCACUGGGUUUCUCGUGUUAUCCUUGAACUCAGUCUGCAGCUCAGACAGUCUUUGAAUUUGGCAUUCUCCUGCCUCAGCCUCUCUAUAAGCGGGAUGACAGGCCUGCAUCACCAUCCUGAGAUGAAGAGCUCACAUUUGAAUACAGAAGAAGAAGAAGAAGAAGAAGAAGAAGAAGAAGAAGAAGAAGAAGAAGAAGAAGAGGAAGAGGAAGAGGAGGAGGAGGAGGAGGAGGA